Molecule: long non-coding RNA, 16651 nt
Filed under: Solanum lycopersicum (tomato)
Lineage: Eukaryota; Viridiplantae; Streptophyta; Magnoliopsida; Solanales; Solanaceae
Description: long non-coding RNA (SLYC_LNC000365)
Source: RNAcentral
CACACAUAGAAGGUCAAAUUCUCCUUUUCCAAAAAAAAAAAAAAAUCUAAAAUCUAAAAUUGUAUUUUAAUUGUUUAUUAAAAAUUUGAAACUUAAUCAUUAAGUUACGUUUUCACAUAAAAAGAUUUAUAAUUUUAAAUUUUGCAAAAAUGACUCAUGUUUGUUUGAAAUCGAUAAAAAGGGUGGGUGUUACUGUAAUGGAUAAUUCAUUGGCUGAAUUUGAGAGAGGCAACCACCACCCUUUGGAUGAAAAAUCCUCAACUCCUCAUUCAUUCCCUUGCGAGCUUUUUGUUUUUUGCAUCUCAACUCUCGAUUACAUUUUCCUUCAUACCUAAAUAUAACAAAAAAAGCCAAGCUGAUUGAGGCUCAGAGCUCAGGCAACAAGAGAUUCCAACCAUGCCAUGGCUGCAAAAGCCACCUCCAAGAUAUGGGUUGGAUUAAUCAGCUCACAUUGGCAAAAAUCAAUUAUUCUCAGCACCAUUGCUUCCAGUGGCAACAAUCAAUGAUCCAGCGGAAGCAUUAAAAAGGAGAUGGAAAAAAGACUUGGAAACCCAUUUACUUCCUCUGUUUAGUGAGAGGUUUGUUGGGAUUCUUACAAUAAUGGAGAAAUCAUUGACUGGAUGAAUGCAGAGAGAGGCAACCACCCUUUCAACGAAAAUCCCUGUUAGCCUCAUUCUUAUAGUACCCUGAGGCUGGUAAUACUACCCCUCAGUUUAAAUUGACGAAGAGAAGCUCAGAUCUGUGUUGAACAAGAGUAUAAAGAGAGUCCAACCACGCCAUGGCUGCAAAAACCAGCAUGCCCCGCCAAGAUACAGGUCGGAUAACCUCCAAUGCUCAAUUAAUCAGCUCAGAAGGGAAUAAAAGUUACAAAAAUCAUCAUCGCCUCUUCCUAGCCAUCCGAAGCAAUAAAAUCAACUGUUAGAGGAAAUAUAAUUGAAGAAGAAGAUGGAUUUAAGGCGUGAAGAAUCGCUUUCCUUAAAAGAGAUAUUGCACGUGUACAUAUUGGGAAAAUACUAGCAACUGCCUUCAAGAUACAACAAAGUCCUUAUAUAUACAUGCAUAUUUUUCUCUUUGGCCUACUUCUGGAGAGUGUUUAUAUUUAUAAACCUUAAGAGAUCGACUUUUCAUAACAGUCAUGAACAAAAAAUGUAUCUGUUCAAUUUAAGGCCUCUAUAUAUUGCAAAAUAUCCAACAACAUACCCAGUAUAGUUUCAUUUUUCUCUUUUUGCAAAUUAUAUCAAAAACAACUUUUCUCCAACUCCAAAUAAGUUACUUUUAUACCAAUUUUUCCAACUGAACAUAUGGUCUCACUUGGCUAUAGAAGUUGUGAACAUUAUCAGCAAAAAACAGUAAAGAGAUUUCACUUUUGUUUGAAUCUCUAUGUUGCACCGGCCAUCUCUGUCUUUCUCUGCUUAGAUACCAAGCUUCAUAAUUCAAAUCUGUGGCAUGCAUCGUACUCACCAACUGUUGCACUCUUAUCCCUAAACAAAAGGGAUAUUUCAAACUGGCAACAUGCACCCCUAUUACACAUCAAUUGUUGUACUAAUGCUGCAGGACCAAAGCCUCUAAGCCAUGGGUGGGAUGUAUUCAUAAAAACAGUAAAGGUUUAUGGUUGAACACAUUUGAAACAACAAAGAGGAACUUUUCAAAUAUAUAAUCGUCCAAUCAAGAGUGAUGGAUAGUGUAGCCAAGUGAGAAACAGCUGGUUACAACCAUAUAUUAGCUCAUCAACUAGAAUUGUUCCAAGCUUGUCCAAGUAUGAUAUUGGCAACAGGGAAAAAGAGGAGAUCAACAAAGACAGAGCCCCUUGGCAAAGUUGCCUUGUUUUGCAAUUCUUUUUUGCAUAUAUCAAACAAUUACCUAUUUUCAAACUUAAAUACAUAAAAAUACAACUACUAUAACAAUAUUUUUAGGUUAGUAGUGACAACAUAGAGCUAAAUAGAGGCCUCAUCUAUCAGAGUAACUAUGACAUAAAGCGUCAUUUGGAUGUUAAUCCAUGGCUUACUUGAGUUACUCAUCAUUUAGGAUGAAUUGCUACAUGAACAGCAUAAACAAAUUGAUUGAAGGAGAUCAGUAUGAAUUAUCAAGACUACUAACAAGUAUGCUUUCUUGUGAAGAUCAUUAUCAAUGAAAGAGAAACCCUAAAAGAUAAUACAUAGCAAAAACAAGAAACUCACGCAGUGAAACUUCUUUUAGAUAAGUAAUUGUGACAAGAUAGUGCUAAUAGAGGUCUCAUCUAUCAGAGUAACUAUGACAAAAGAAGCUUCAUUUGGAUGUUAACCCAUGGCUUACUGGAAUUACUCAUCAUUUAGGAUGAAAUAUUUCAGGCAUAAAAGUAAACAAAUUGAAUAGAAGGAUAACUCCUAACAUAAUACAUAACAUAGAACAGAAAGUAUCACAUCUUGUACAGAUAAUACAUAAGCAGGAACAAGAACCUGACAAAAUGAAGCAUAAAAUCAACUAGUGAAACUUUCUUCAGUAGUCUAGUCAAUAGAGGUCAUCUAUCAGAGUAACUAUGACAAAAAGCUUCAUUUGGAUGUUAAUCCAUGGCUCGCUUAAAUUACUCAUCAUUUAGGAUUGAGUUCCCUUCAUGCACAGAAUAGACUAGAACUAUUGACUUUCGGUUUUGGUAAUUAGGUCAAUCACUAGUGUUUCCAAAAAAGACCACGGAAAAAAUCUCAAGAAUUAGUGGUAUCCACAAAGCAAGCAACAACUGCAAAAUUUGCAUAAACUAUAAAAAUGAUCUUACUCCCAUAUAAUUUAUAAAUACACUGUCCUGCUCAAAAAAGAUUUAUGAUUUGGCUUAUAUUCUAACAACACAAACUGUAGUGCUCCUGCAUAAAUUGAUGCAUGUUAAAAAAUGAACAAUUGACGAAAUUAUGAACUUUCACCUAUAAGAAAACUAAAGCAUAUCAGCAACAAAGUAACUCAAAAAUACAUGUUAGUACUCAAAUGCCUAGGUUUCUAGACAAAGUGAAACACAUUUGGGCACAGGCUUUGUGAUUACUAUACAGAGUUCAUAAACAGAGAAAACAAGGGAUGACAUUAAGGCACACUUAUCUCAGAGAAAGAGCUUUCCUAUUCAUCAUAAUUGAAAAAAAAAUAGUUUCAUGUAUCAAAAAGGAACAUAUUUAUCAAAAGAAAGAAACUCAAAAAUAGGAGUUAACAUUCCUAAGUUCCUAGUCUAACAUUUUUAGGCACAGUCGUAUCCAAGAAGCACCUUUAGGAACACCUAUUUUUUAUCUGAGAAUUGAUAGCAAAAGAACCCAUGGGCUGUCAAACUCAGGAAUUCAUUUCCUGAGCCCAAAAAACUUAUUCUUUUAAAGAAAUCAAGCAACAAGGUAGGUAAGCUUUUAGUUGUUGGAGAAUUAUGAGACAGAAAAGGAAGACAAAAAUGGAUCUUCCUCCUCCACUUUUCAGACUCAUCUGGAGCUGCCACACCAAGAUAGAGUCAUUCUAGCUCAAUGAGUUUAUAUGUCUGUUUCAUCUUCCAAAGAAGACAAGAAACUUUAAUUCUUCAUUGCCUCCUUGAACAUAAUUUGAGACGUAGGAAGUAGCAACCAAAAAAAAACAUAGGGUGUAACAAAUGGAAGGGUGUUUUUUGUAAUCAUUUGAGUGAUCAUCGGCAUCAAAGAGUAACAGAGAGCGGCAAACCACCCAUUGGAACUCCCUAAAGCUCUCUGCUUUUACACAGCCUCAGACUCAAACUAAUGAGAUAAGGCUCAGAUUCGCCUUUUCUCAGACAAAACCAAAAAGCUUUUAAAAAGACAGCGUCAUGGCUGCAAUCUUCAGUUAGAUUUAUGAGACAGAAAAGAAUACUUUCUCCUCCAUUCUCACCAGACCCAUCUGAACUGCCACGCCAAGAUACAAUUUUUUUCCAGCUCAAUGGAAAUAUAUGUCUGAUUCAUCUUCCAAAGAAGACAAAUUCUUUCAAAUCUUCAUAGCCUGACAGAUUGGGACUGAGGGGUAACAGCAAUUGGGAACAAAGGAAGGUCUAGUGGAAGUUCACCAAAAGGGUGGUUUUUUGCAAUCAUUUUGAGUGAUCAUCGGCAGCAGAGAAUAACAGAGUGGCAAAACCACCCAUUGAAACUCCCUAAUCCUCUGUGCUUUCACCGCCGCCUCAUACUUAAACUAAUGAGAUUUGUGCUAUUUUCAUGUCAAUGCUGCUUCUUAUAUUGUGCCCUAAUCAAUUGGGCCUUACUUGAAAAGCCCAUCUCGUCGGGUCGAAUUCAAUUGACCACAAUUGGAGGAAGAAGAUUAGGGCUUGUAGCCGUUGAUUAUACUCACCAGUCACCAGCAACGGCAACACUGAAUUUUCCGGUGGAAACAUAAAGAAAAAAGAUCAUAUUUGUGCAAAUUUCUGUAUGAAAAAAGAACAGUUCCAAAUUUCCAGAAGAAAGGGUUGUUUGGAAUUGUCACAGAGAGAAGCAAACCACCCUUCAAUGAAAAAUCCUUAAACUCUCUGUAAGCCUGAUUCUCUCCCUUCUGAGCUUUUUUUGCUUUCUUCAAUUAUCAAAAAGAGCUGGUUUUUGAUCGACUCUCCAUUCAAGUAAAGGAGAAUCAAUACUAUAAAAUAUUGGGAAGAAAAAAUAUUUUUAACAAGACAAAGAUUACAUUAUACUGUAUUAUUUUGAUGAAACACAAUAUUAAAUUUAGAAUGCCAUGCACCAACAAUACAAAGAAUAAAAACACAAGAUAACAGGUAAGAGUAAUUACAACAAAAGUAAAGCCUAAAAUGGGAUAUUACAAGUUCAAGCCCAAGAAAGUAUGCUCUUUGAUCCACCACUACUACUGACCGAGCUCAAAGUAGCUGUUACAAGUCAAACACUAUGAACUUGGAAAACAUAAUUAACAAAAAAAAAAAGUGAUCUAUCCACUGUUACUAUCCGCUUUUAGGUCCACGACUAUUAUCGACUCAAUCCCAAAGUAGGAAAAUAACAGACUAAAGCGAGGAGUUCAUUAGCCAUACAUAGUUAAGGAGGAGACAUUCCCCAUGCUGCGGUUCGGAAAGGUCUUCCCAAGCAGGUCACUGGGAGCUAAGACAGGCCAAUGUUUGACUCGUUGUCAAACUCAACGCAGAUAAGGGCAGACAGCAAAAUGGGGCAUCCAUCGGCAGAAGAGAUGUGAAAAAUCAACAAAACUAAAAGUAUAUGAGCAAUAUUUAUGACCAGAAAGAAUAUGUAAAUGAAAAAUAGCAACUCCUUUUGCCAUCUUGCAAAAAGGGAAAAGUAACAAAGAAAGGAAUUGUGAAUUACUGGUACUUAAUACAAGACUCAGAUCAGUUUAUCACAGCUUCCAUGGCUGCAACCUAGAGCAGGUUGCCCUGCGAAGUUGCUGAGUCUUAUCAUCUCAAUGCAAACAAAUAUUGCUAUUUGUCAAAAAAACAUAUCAUCACUGCCUCGAUUUUUCACUUCUUUUUUAUUGGAGCGUGAUUCUCGCUGUUUAUGUGUUAAUGCAGCCACAAAGCAGCACGGUGAGAACCAAUAGCAGUAAAAGAUAAUUAUUUAUGUGCAUCUUCUCAAGCUAGAGUUACAAGAAAGAGCUAGCCGCUGUUACUUACUUCCAGCAAGAUUUCACAUCUUGGCCUUACCAGCAAAACCGAAUCAAAAAAUAAAUUAUUCACAUUUCUCAUCAAUGAUGUCUCAUUUAACGAUUUCCCCAUCAAACAAUGUCCAGAAGAAUUACUGGCAAUUUUGACACUCGCAGCUGGCUACUAAUGAAUGGUCAAAGAGAGAGAGGAGACAACGCCAUAGCUGCAAAAGAACCAGUUGCAUGUGAUCGAGGAGUCUCAAAUCACAUACCAUCAUGGGUUUUUGCCAAGCCAAGAUACAGAUCUACUUGUCUGUAAACCCGAACAACCUUUUUUUAAGCCAAGAUAAGCAAAUAUCAUCUGCUUCGUUGAUUCUGGUAGCAUAGGAUUCGGGGAAUUUGAGAUGCUUUGGACCUGAGCUCAUAAAUCAGAAUGAGGUCCAACUACUGCUGCUGCUGCUGCUGAUGUUAAUGCUCCCUCUGUUUUCUAUAGUGAAGAAAGGAAAAGGACUAGAAGAGGGCUGUUGGUUUUGGUAAUGGAGAAAUGAUGCAAGAGGCUCAGAUUAUGUCUUCGGGCUUUGAGUUCUUUGUGCCCAGCCAUAGCUGCAAAUUUCCAGAAAUUCAGAUUGCCCCGCCACAGCAGCUACAGAACUCUUAUGCCCGACUCAAAGAGCUCAGCAAAACUAUCAUCAUAGCCUCAUUGUUUCCUCUUGCUGGCAUUAUGAACAUGUACUCUGUUUGCAUUGCAUUGAAACAGAGCCAGUGAGGACCGACAACCGAAACAUAUGCACAAUGCAUUAGAUACACAAGAAAUAUGCAUAUGCAUAAACAGUCGUCUAGUUAAAAAUAAAAGCAAAAAUAAGUCAGCAGAAUGUCAGAGAUGGCCAUCCACACGGAGAAGUUCAACACAAAGAGAAAUCACCAGAACGUCUGAGAUGGUCAUCCACACAGAGUAUCAUCUCUCACAGUAUUAUUAUUGUUUAUUUAUUUUCUUGUAUAUUUCGAAGUGCUGUUGGUCUUUUUGGUUAUCAAUGGAGAAAUCAUGGGCAGAGAGAGGGCAACCACCCUUUGCAGAAAAUCCCAAUCUCUCUGAUGCCUCGUUCUUCUUUCAUUCUAGGCUAUGCUUUGCUGAUACCGAACAAACAAGAUUAUACAGCAAGAUGAUUUAUAGCUUUUAGUAGAAAAUCGCAGGUUCAACAUAUCUCAAAAUUGAACCAUGGAAAUAUUCUUUCCCUAUCUUUCUUUUCAAGCAAAUGGGACUCAGAUGUAUGUUAUGACAAAAGCGAAACAUAAGCCAAUCACCGGUUGCAUGCAAGAGACACAAGCAGCAAUCACAAGCCAUACCGGGUCACCACACCAAGAUACAGAUUGGAUAAUCUCAAUGCACAAAUUGGUUAGGUGUUAACUUUUGGAAAACUUCAAGGACCAAAAUUGUUAAGUGCAUAUUUAAGGGACUAUUUUGGACAUACCCUCAAACAUAAAGAGAUUUGUCAUUUUCUCCCUAAUUCUGAAUUCAGAGCCGAAAUUUCAACACACGCAAUAGGUUUUCCAACCAGGGAAUAGACUCACCAUGGAAGAUCAUGAAAUGGGUUAUUCAGGGCUCAGAUUUGUUGUAUUUCUUAACAAAGAAAAGAGAAGAACGCCACAGCCAUGGAUGCAGACACCAGUUUGCUAUUCAAAGCCAUAACCGGGUCGCCCAGCUAAGAUGCAGGUUUUUCUCAAUGCUAUAUUGAACACAGCUUCAUAGCCCAAAAAGGAAAGUAAGCAAUCAUCAUAGCCCCCUUUACAACACCAGCAGCAGCAACAGCAUCACAAGAAGACGAGAGGAAGAACAACAAGAGUACAGAGGUGUGUUUGGAUGACAUUUUUUUCCCUUUUGUUUAUUUAAAAGGGCUGUUAUUUUUUGGUUAUCAAUGGAAAAAUCACUGGCAAAGCAGAGACGGGCAACCACCCUUUUACAGAAAAUCCCAAUUUCUCUGAUGCUUCAUUCUUCAAAGCUGAAAUUUCAUUUGAGGGCUCAGAAUUGCUAUAUCUGAACAAAGCAAAAGAGAGAAGUGAUGCCGCCAUGGAUGCAGACACCAGUUUGCUAUUCAAAGCCAUAACUGGGUCGCCCUGACGUCUACUGAAGCAUCUCUUGCUGCCCUAAACUGGCAACUGGGCUACAAAGAACCAUAUUAUCCUGCCUCAAUUUUCUAGUAUGAUUUUCUCUGUUGGUGUUCACACAGCCAUGUAGCAGCAAGAAAAGAGAACCAUCAGUAGCAGAACUGACUGAAUGAACAACUAAAUAAAUAAAUAAAUAAACAAUUCCCAUUUCUCAUUGAUGCCUCAUUUAUGAGCUGGCUUUCAAAAUAAGUGAAAACGGGUUUUCACCAAACAAUGUCCACAACUACUUGCAAUUUGAGGCUCAGAUCUGGGCUAUUAAUGGGGAAAAGAGAAAGAGACCACGCCAUGGCUGCAAAUAUCACGAAGCAACUGCAGUUCACCAAGCCAAGAUACGGGUCUGAUUGUCUUUAUCCUGAAGCCAGAUGAGCAAAUAUCAUACUGCCACUUUGAGAAAAUGGCUGCAUAAUUUCAAGAAAUUAGGAUACUUCGGAUUAAGCCUUAUUAACCAGAUUGAGGUCCAAGUACUACUACUACUAGCACUGUUAAUGCUUUGCUUAAAACUGGAGGCUCAGAUGUGUAUCUGGGGCAUUGAGUUUUCUGGCACCUGCCAUGGCUGCAACUCACAGAUAUUCAAGUUGCCAUGCCAAGAUACAGGCAACAAAAAUCUAAUGCACGAUUAUGUUUAGCUCAGCAUAGUGCAGACACUAUCAUCACAGCCCAAUUGUUUCCCUUUCCGAGUCCAUUGCUUUGGAACACAACCAGUGAGGACAAAGCUAAGAUGCUUGAAUUAAUAAGCACAAAUCCACAUGUACAAAUGCAGAAAUAUACAUAAACAAGGGUUCUCAGGUUUAGAGCAUAAAAAAAAUCAUUGGCAUGUUAAAGAUGGUCAUCCACAUCGAGAAUCCUUUGUGGUGGUGUAGUUGGUUAUCACGUCAUUCUUAACACAUAAAACUAAAGAAUACCAAUUCCAGAGUAAAUUACCAUUGAAAACUAUCAACGGUCGCAUAAAGAGGGUGUUAUUGAUCUCUCUCCGUCAAAGAAGGUCUCGUGUUCUAUUCCCAGGUUGUAAGGAAGGAAAUUUGGAAAAUGAGGCUCAGUCUCAAUUUUCUAUUGGGGUAAAGAUAAGGCAACCAUGCCAUGGAUGCAAAAUAACCAAUUGGAUUGUGAAAGAGAAGCCUAAAAUCACAGCCCUUGUUGGUGUUUGCCAAGCCAAGAUACAGGUCAGGAUGUCUCUAUGCCCAAAAGGAAAUGAGCACGGAAUUUAAAGUGGCCUCAAAAAAAGACCAUUUUUGUAAAUGCCGAUAAACAAUAAUCAUCACAGCCUCUUUCAGAUGAAGUUCACUCUUCCAUGGAUUUUAAGAAAUUGUAGAAAUUUUUGGACUAAAGAAUUCAAUAAUGCCUAAUGGCGAAGGCGCCAGAAUUUGCUGGGUUUCCUCGAGCUAAGGAAGAAUAAGAGGGUUGUUAGUUUUGUUAGUUAAGAAAUCAUAGGCCAAACAGAGGGGACACUGCCCUCCUAGAAGUCCCUUUUGCCCCAGUUGGCCUCAUCUUCCUUCUGGGCUCAAUCUCCAUUAUUACUUUUGUCGAGGAAAAAGCUUGUAGUUAUGCAACGUACUAAUAUCUAGAUUCUCUUUAGCCCUUCUUGCAGAGAUGUACCAUGCUAUUAUUUGUGGCUAUUUCGCUCGGAUUCAAAAACAUUGAAGGGUGUGUCGGAUACUCCAAAAAUAGUGUAUUUUCGGAGAAUCCAACAUGAGUGCAACGACAUUUUUGGAGAAUCCGAAGCAAUAGUAACAGCAGAAGCACAACGAGACAGAGGAAGAGCAAGAAGAAUAUAGAGGGGGUGUUUGGAAUUUGGAUGAAGUUUUUCAAUUUGCUUUCUUUUUGUUUAUUUGAGAAAGGGUUGUUGGGUUUUUUGGUCCAUUAAUGGAGAAGUCACUGGCACAGCAGAGAUUGGCAACCACCCUUCACAGAAAAUCCCAAUUUCUUCAACGCCUCAUUCUUCAAAGUUGCAAUUUCAAAGCAAACCAAAAAAAUGAUUUUCUACCCGAAUGGGUUAUUGAGGGCUCAGAUUUGCUGUAUUUGGACAAAGCAAAAGAGAAGAGCGACACCACCAUGGCUGCAGACACCAGUUAUCUAUUCAAAGCCCUAACCAGGUUGCCCUGCCAAGAUGCAGGUCGGAUAUUUUCUCAAUUUCCAUGAUUGAACAUAGCUCAGAAAGGAAGCAAUCAAUCAUUAUAGCCCCUUCAAAACAUUAUCAGCACAAAGAGAGGAGAAAGAGGAAGAGUAGUAUAGGGUGUGUUUGGUAUAAAGUUUUUAUUGUUGUUGUUGUUUAAUUCAAAGGGCUGUUGGGUUUUUUUGGUCCAUUUAUGGGGAAAUCACUGGCAACGCAGAGAUGGGCAACCACCCUUUACAGAAAUCCCAUUCUCUGACGCCUCAUUCUUCAGAGUUGAAAUUUCAUUGGAAAUCCGUAAUGGAUUUUCCGACCCGAAUGGGUUGGGGUAAAGGCUGCACAGACACCAUCUUCCCCCACACCACUUCCGGAUAUGUUGUUGUAGUAAUGGGUUAUUGAGGGCUCAGAUUUGCUGUACUUGAACAAGAGAAGAGUGACGCCGCCAUGGCUGCAGACACCAGUUUGCUCUUCAAAGCCUAACCAGGUCGCCAUGCCAAGAUACGGUAGGAUAUUUUCUCAAUUACCAUGAUUGAAUAUAACCCAGAAAAGAAGCAACAAUCAUCAUAGCCCCUUCACAACAUUAGCAGCACAAAGAGAGAAGAAAGAGGAAGAGCAAGAAGAGUAUAAGGUUGUGUUUGGUAUGAAGGUUUUUUGUUUUUUCUUGUUUAUUUCGAAGGGCUGUUGGUUUUUAUGGUCCAUUAACGGAGAAUUCACUGGCAUAGCAGAGAGGGGCAACCACCCUUUCAGAAAGUCCCAAUUUCUCAGAUGCCUCAUUCUUCUUCCUUUCUAGGCUAUGCUCAACUUAGCUUUUGUUUGCCAAGAACAAUAUCAUCACUGCCUCAAUUUCACAUUUUUCUAGUAUGAUUCUUGCUGUUUAGGUGUUCAUGCAGCCAUGCAGAAGCAAAAAAACGUGGGCUUACUACCAACACUGAAUGAAUGAAUAAUAAAUAAAAAGUUUGUGUUUCUCAUGAUGCCUCAUUGAGCUGGCUUUUAAAUAAGUGAAAUGGAUUUGGUUUCCACCAAACAAAUGUCUAGAACUACUUGCAAAUUUGUGGCUCAGAUCUGACCUAUUAAAGGGAGCAGAGAAAGAGAGCACGCCGCAGCUGCAAAAGUACCGGUUGCAUGUGAAAGAGAGGCCUUAAAUCACAUAGCAACUGGGGUUUGCCAAGGCAAGAUACGGGUCUGAUUGUCUUUAUUCCCAAAGCUCAGAUAAGCAAAUAUUAUCACUGCCGCUCCGAGAAAAUGGUUGCACAAUUUUCAAGAUAUUAGGAUAAUUUGAAUUAAGCUCAUAAAUCAGACAGAGGGCCCAAGUACUACUAUUACUAUGUUAAUGCUUUGCUCUCAGCUGGAGGCUCAGACUUGUAUCUGGAGCACUGGAAUUCCUGGAAACCUGCCAUGCCUACAAACAAAUACAGAUAUUCAAGUUGUCAUGCCAAGAUACAGGUUACAAAAAUCUAAUGCCUGUUGUAAUUUAGCUCCCUUUUUGAGAUCAUUGCUUUGGAACAGCCAGUGAAGACAAAUCACGACAACUGAGACAUAGACAUCUAAAUAUAUUUAUAUGCAGAAACAUUACAUAAAAGGUUGCCUGGUUUAGAGUGAAAAGAAAGCACCUGCAUGUCGAAGAUGCUUAUCCACUCUGAGAAUCAUCUGAUCCCCUAAAGCCUCAUUCAUUGAGCAGAAAUAAAGUUGUAGUUGGUUAUCACGUCAGUCUAACACAUAAAACUGAAGAACCCCAAAUCCAGAGAACGACCUUCAAUUGAAGACCCAAUCGAUGGUUGCACUAAAAUGAUGUUGUUAUCUCCUGUGAAAAGAAUUCCAGAGACUUACCACAUCAAGAGAAGGGAAAAUCCAACUUCUCUUUGAAACGAGGCAAAAUGAGUUUCCAUUAAAGAAGGUUGCGUGUUAGAUUACCAGGUCAGCGGGUCAUCAAAAGGAAAUUUAGAAAAUGAGGCUCAGAUCUCAGUUUCUGACGAGGCAAAGAGAAGACGACCAAGCCAUGGCUGCAAUCGAAUCAAUUGCAUGUGAAAGAGAAACCUCCAAUCACAGACCAUUCCGGUGUUUGCCAAGCCAAGAUACGGGCGGGAUGCCUCAAUGCCUGGAUGGAAAUGAGGAAAAAUUUAAAAUAGCGGUCCUAGAAAAUUGUCGUAAAUGGCCCAAUUAACAAGUAUCAGCACUGCCUCUUUCAGGAAAUGGCCUAAAUGACCCAUUUUCUCAAAGUUUGGUCAUUGGUGGCAUAUUUGAGUCUUCUCCUAUUAAAAAAUGAUUUAAUAAAUGAUAUGGCUGAAUACUAAUUGACCACGUGUAAUAAAUGGUUUUGCAAAACCAAAACUUUUUUCAAUUAACAUAGAAUGGCAUGGAUGAGCCUUUUCGUAAACGGAAAUGGCAGAGAUGAGCCAAACUUUUAAUGGAUAGCACAAAUGAGUCUUUUCUCAAAGUUCAAUGACAUAUUUGAUCCUUUUCCCUUUUUUAAAAAAGAGAAAGUUACCACACCAUGAUAAGCCCUAAUAAUAGUUUCCCAAUUGAUAAGACAAAGUGAGGCUCAGAUCAGUGUUAAGCUCGGGCAACAAGAGAGUCCAACAACAUCAUGGCUGCAACAACCACCAGAAAGUCUGGGAGCAUGCCCCGCCAAGAUACAGGCCGGAUGGUCUCAAAUGCCUGAUUAAUCAGCUCAGAAGGAUAUUAAAAAUUGACAAAAUCAUCAUUGCCUCUUUCAAGCCACGGGUUAUCCACAACAACACAGCUUCCAACACCAGCAUUCAAUGCUCCGGCAGAAGCAUUAGAGAAAAGAGAUGGCAUAGCAUGAAAGGGUAUAUAGAAACCAUUUGUAAUGAUAUGUAAACAACCAUCCAAACAAAUUGUUAAUAUUACUCCCUUCAUUAAAAUUGAUAAAAGGGUUGUUGGGGACUUGGCGUUCUUACAGUAAUGGAGAAAUCAUUGCCUGAUGCAGAGAGAGGCAACCACCCUUUCAAUGAAAAAUCCCAAAACUCUCUGUAGCCUCAUUCUUUCCCUUCGAAGCUUUUGCUUUGUUCAUUUAACUAAACCGAUGGAGAAAGUGAGGCUCAAAUCUUUGUCUUCCCUUUAGAAUGUCUCUUUCCUUUUUUGGCAACAUUUGACUUCUAACUUUCCACGUGACGCCUUUAAACCCACAAUAUUAAAAGGCAUCUAGGAACAUUCUACAUAUCUUAAGAUAAAGAUCUCCGGGUUGCCCCCGCUUAGAUACGGAUCCAAUUGCUCUACCGCACUAUUGAUUUGCUCAAAGGAAGAAGACAAUCUUCAUCACGGCUUCAGAAUUUUUUAAACAAUUAUUAUUAUAACUGGGUGUGAGAAUUUGGAGAGAACAAGCAAAGACUUAAGCGUCAUUUGGUCUCUGUUUAACUGCAACAAGAGCUGUUGAGUUUUUCUUUUUUCACAGCAACACUGAAAUCAAAAUCACAGUUAUUGCAGAGAGGAGCGACAGCCCUUUGAAGGGUUCCCCUCUACUCUCUCCAACCCUCAUUAUUCGUCUCUGAGCUAAGCUUUUUUUCCUUUAAAAGAGAAAUUCUCAUGUGUUUUUCGACCUGCGAAUUUCACAGCUGCAAUAACAACAACCCAGCGUUAUCUCACUCCUACCUUGUGGAGUUAACUAGAUUGUUUCCAAUACUGUACAAAUGAAACAUUGAGGCUCAGAUUUGUAAUACUUACAACAUGGCAAGAGAGACUGGAAUCACCGCCAGGGCUGCAAGCACCGGUUGCAAGGUAACCUGCCAUCCAGGUAGCCCGCCAAGAUAUGGGUCCAUUUCUUUCCUGUACUAUUGAUUUGCUCAGAGAAAGAAUAAAAUCAUCAUCAUAGCCUCAUAAUUUUCGCAACAACCAUUACUACUACUACUGAUUAUCCCUUUAAAGUUGAGAAAUUGGAGAGAACAAGCAUAUUGCUGUUUAACUGCAGAAGGGCUAUUAAAGAUUCUUUUUUUCACAACAAAAAUGAAAUCACAGGUAUUGCAGAGAGGAGCAACAGCCCUUUGAACUUUCCCUCUACUCUCCGCAACCCUCAUUUCCGUCUAUGACCUUUAACUUUUCUGGACUAAGCUUUAUUUCCUUUUAUGGGAAAUUUCACAGCUGCAUUUUAAAGAAAAACCAAUAAAGCUCAGAUCUGUAUUACUCACAAUACAGCAAAGAGAGCCUCAAAUCACCGCCAUGGCUGCAACCACCGGUUUCUAGGUCACCUUCUAUCCGGGUUGCCCCGCCAAGAUACGGGUCCGAAUGCUCUCCUGCACUAUCCAUUUGCUCAUCAGAGAAAAAAAAAACAGAGUACAUCAUCAUCACAGCCUCAGUUUUUCGCAACAAUUAUUAUUAUUAUUAUUAUUAUUAUUACUGUAUGAUUCUAGCAAAGGUGUCGUUAGGUCGGUAUUUAGCUGCAAAAAUGCUGCUGAAAUUAUCAUUUUUUCACAGCAAAAAUUGAAAUCACAGGCAUUGCAGAGAGGAAGCAGCACAGCCCUUUGAAGUUUUGUCUUCCACUCUCUGCAAAUCCUCAUUCUCUUUUCUCUGAGCUUUUUGGAUUUCUACUGUAACACCAUCUCCAACCAAAUCCUAUUUUAGUGUUGUGGACUUUCAACCCUUAUUAUGUUUUAUUACAUUUACACUAUUUAGACAUUGUAUCUGAGAUUAUAUUGUAUUAUUAAUUUAAAUAUAAUUAUUUUAUAUUUAUUAAUUAAUUAAAUUCAUCGUUAUAUAAAUAAUAAAAAAUCUAUUUUGCGUAACUAUCAUUUAUAUGAUAGUGUCUUUAUCUUAACAUUUUUUUUUAUUUUGUCUUUUACUUAUUAUUAAAAUAAUUUUAUUUUAUCGUUAUCAUAUAUUUUUAUAGCAAUUUAAUCUUGUACUCUAUAAUAUUUUUUUAAAUUUAUCAUUCAAAUUGUUUUAAAUAAUAAUAAAAAACAAUAUAAUUUAUUUAAAUAUUAUAUAAUAUAUAUUAAAAUAAUAUACUACAUUAUGAUACAAUACCAUGCAACAAAAUAAUAAGUAUUAAAUCAUGAUUCAUCUAUACUAUAUAUUUUUCACUUAUUAUUAUUAUUUGUAUUAUAUAAUAUUUUCAAAAAUAUAAAUAACAAUAUAAUAUUAAAAAGAGAAGAGUAUACUUAGAGACAAUAAAUAUUACUUUACUUUUUAGGGUAAAAUUUAAUGAAGAGAAUAGGAAGAUAAGCAACAUUACACCUUUAUUUGGAUGGUUAUAGUCUGAGAUAUUAUUAGUUUAAAUAUAAUAUUUAUUGAGAUUAUUAAUUUUAUAUUAUAUAACAUAAUAUAAUAUAAUAUAAUAUAUUAUAAAAUAAAUUCUUAUUCUUUUACCUUUUUUUUUGUGUGUUUUUAAAAAAAAUGAAAUAUUUCUUUUUCUUAUCACUUUAAUUUUAAUUUUUACAUGAAAUAUUUAACAUUACAAAGUUAAAAAUCGUUUUAAUAUAUUUGACAUAACUUUAAUUUAAAAUAACAAAAUUAAAUUUAUUUUUUUUUAAUCUUCAUUCCAAGUCAAAAGUCAUCCUUUUUUUUUUUUGAAGGAAGGUGGUAAUAAUCAUCUAAAAACAAAGUGGUCAUGGCUCGUGUGUGAUUGUUUUGAAAUUAGUUAUUUUGAAAUUGUUAUCCUACUUUUCAUAUGAAAUGUAAUAAUUAUUAUAGUUCCAAAGCAAUUUAUUUGCAAUUUGAUUUGAAUCCAACAUUUUGGUUAAGAAUUAACAGGUAAGUGAAGUGUUGAUUUAUUUCAAAGGUUAGACUUGUUGAUAUUUAUGGUUCAUAUUAACUAUAGUAGUUGUUCAGAUUAUAAGCAAAUUUUGGCUCGUGAUUUGCUAAGCCAAGUUAAUCUUCAUCAUCUCAACCCAGUUUUCUGGGAAUCCGAAGAGAUCACGGCCUCAAAUUUUAUGGAUUAAAAAUGAGAAAAUACAAACAAACAAAGACGAGUUUUGAAUGAAAUAUCAAUUUCCAGCAGAAGUUUUGUAUGAAUCCAAAAGUUAUUCAUUAUGAAUUUAGAGGCUCAGAUCUGCAAAAGAAAUCGAGGUAGAAGAGAGCCGACCACGCCAUGGCUGCAAAAUUUGCCAAGCCAAGAUACGGGUCGUAUAAUCUUCAUACCCGACCCGAUUAGCCCAGAAUCCAAAGAAAUCAUUAUCUUCAUCAUCGCCUCUCAUUAUUUGGAUAAAAAAAAACACAGAAGAAACAGAGUUUGUAACCAUAGUUGUUGAAGUUGAAGAAAAGGUUUAAUUUUCCAUGUUCAAUAAUUCAGUCAUUUCCCAGAAACACAUGCAUGUGUCCAAAAGGCUCAGAUCUGCAAAGAGAUCGGAACAAAGAGAGAGACGACCACGCCAUGGCUGCAAAAUUUGCCAAGCCAAGAUACGAGUCGCAUAAUCUCCAAGCCCGAUCCGGUUAGCCCAUCAUCAUCAUCAUCACAGCCUCAAUAGAUCAAACACCAACAAAGAGUGAGUAAUUAAUUAACAAAAAAGAGAAUGGCAUAGAUGUAGAAUUGGAAAGUUGAGGAAUAUAUGUAUGUUUGUUGUAUGUAUGUAUGUAUGGCAUGCAUGUUCCAAUAAUUCCCAGGAAAUUAACAUGAAUUCAAGGGUUGUUGCUUCAUCUCUAAAAGAAUCAUUCAUAGGCUAAACAAGAGAGGGGCAACCACCCUUGUUAAUAAAAUCCAAAAACUCUCUGUUUUGCCUCUUUUUUCUUUUCUGGGCUAACCUUUUCUUUGCUUCUUUUCCACCUUUAACUUUUGCCUUUUUUAUAACCCACUCUUGAAUAAAUUUAUCAUUUUUCUGUAUGUCUAAUGGAUAAUACUUUAUUUGAAAAUGUAAAAGCACAAACAACUUGUCAUUCUUAUCCAUUUCUCCUUGAAACAGAAUU